This 247-nucleotide long non-coding RNA is filed under the name Parus major (Great Tit). RNAcentral describes it as "lncRNA (ENSPMJG00000012935.1)". Lineage: Eukaryota; Metazoa; Chordata; Aves; Passeriformes; Paridae. The record is from RNAcentral.
GAAAGGCUAAAACCAGCUGGUGUUGGCUUGCUAUUAACGAAGGACUUUUGCCUGUGAAUUUGCCUGCAAAUGACUUUUUCAGGGUUAAGCAAAGCAUCUGCAGGACCAAAACAAGACUUAAAGCAACAAUCUACCUAAGAAGGCUCCUGUACACAUGAGAAUACACCAAUUGAGGUAAUGGAUGAGGUCCUGUGAUCCUGCCUCACUAUAAAUAUAAAACUACAUGACAUCUAGCACCCUGGAAGGA